UGGGCAGCGCCAGAGAGCCCUUCCCUACCCUGCCCCGCCCAUGUGCCUCCACCCUGACCUGGAGAGACCACCUGUAGGGACAAAGAAGUGAACUUGGAGCAGGUCCACCGGCGCAUGAACAGCCUCAUGGAUGAAGACAUUGCUCACAAGCAGAUUUCCCCAGCGUCGAUUGAGCUCUCGGCCCUGGAGAUGGGGGGCCUGGCUCCCACCCAGACCUUGGAGCCGACACGGGAGUACCAGAACACCCAGCUCUCGGUCAGCACCUUUCUGCCAGAGCAGAGCAGCCAUGGCACCAGCCGGACACUCUCAUCAGGGCCCAGCAGCAACCUGCCGCUGCCGCUGAGCAGCUCGGCCACCAUGCCCUCCAUGCAGUGCAAACACAGGUCACCCAACGGGGGGCUGUUCCGGCAGAGCCCGGUGAAGACCCCCAUCCCCAUGUCCUUCCAGCCCGUGCCUGGAGGCGUCCUUCCAGAGGCUCUGGACACCUCCCACGGGACCUCCAUCUGACCGCGCCGCCUGCCCUCCUGCCCACCCUCCCACCCACCCGACCAGCAGAGCUUUUUAAUACAAGAAAACAACAACACAAACCACACACACUCGCACACACACACAUACACAGAGACUCUUUCAUUUUUCUUGUACAUAUGUGUAAAUAAUGACAGAAUGGAGUGGGGUAAAAGUGUAUUUUGAAUAUUCCCAAUUUUCGAAGUCAGUAAAAAAACACAAAAACUGUAUGAAUGACUUUGUAAAUUUUGUUCUAUAUGAAUAAAAAGGCAAAUUACUUGUG
This 787-nucleotide small RNA is filed under the name Pan troglodytes (chimpanzee). RNAcentral's name for it is "processed transcript". The record is from RNAcentral. Lineage: Eukaryota; Metazoa; Chordata; Mammalia; Primates; Hominidae.